This 302-nucleotide ribosomal RNA is filed under the name uncultured fungus. RNAcentral describes it as "eukaryotic LSU rRNA". The stretch from base 1 to 100 matches the Rfam family "5.8S ribosomal RNA", at positions 56 to 154 of the family's 154-position model. Lineage: Eukaryota; Fungi. The record is from RNAcentral.
CGAUAAGUAAUAGUGAAUUGCAGAAUUCAGUGAAUCAUCGAAUCUUUGAACGCACAUUGCGCCCCCUGGCAUUCCGGGGGGCAUGCCCGUUCGAGCGUCAUUAAAUCCAAUCAAGCCUGGCUUGGUAUUGGGCGUCGGGGUCCCCCGCGCCUCAAUUUCACCGGCUGGCCGUCGCCCGUCUUAGCGUUGUGAUACACUUCUCGCUAGCGAUGGGACCGGACCACGCCGUUAGAACUCACGAAUUUCAAUCGAAAUUCAUCAAGGUUGACCUCGGAUCGGGUAGGAAUACCCGCUGAACUUAA